AGAGUUUGAGUUAUGGCUCAGGAUGAACGCUAGCUACAGGCUUAACACAUGCAAGUCGAGGGGGCAUCAUUGGGAUAGCUUGCUAUUCAGAUGGCGACCGGCGCACGGGUGAGUAACGCGUAUCCAACCUUCCCCUUAGUAGGGCAUAGCCCGGCGAAAGUCGGAUUAAUACCCUAUGUUGUAUAUUGAGGACAUCUGAUUUAUACCAAAGAUUCAUCGCUAAGGGAUGGGGAUGCGUCCGAUUAGGUAGUCGGCGGGGCAACGGCCCACCGAGCCGUCGAUCGGUAGGGGUUCUGAGAGGAAGGUCCCCCACACUGGUACUGAGACACGGACCAGACUCCUACGGGAGGCAGCAGUGAGGAAUAUUGGUCAAUGGGCGAGAGCCUGAACCAGCCAAGUAGCCGUGCAGGAAGACGGCCCUAUGGGUUGUAAACUGCUUUUAUCAGGGGAUAAAGUGAGGGACGUGUCCCUUAUUGCAGGUACCUGAUGAAUAAGGACCGGCUAAUUCCGUGCCAGCCGCGGC
RNAcentral lists this ribosomal RNA (523 nucleotides) under uncultured bacterium. RNAcentral's name for it is "bacterial SSU rRNA". It matches the Rfam family "Bacterial small subunit ribosomal RNA", at positions 8 to 518 of the family's 1533-position model. The record is from RNAcentral.